GGACCGGUCGUCUAACGGUUAGGAUGCGCGCCUCUCAAGCGCGCGAUGGGAGUUCAAUUCUCCCCCGGUUCA
Molecule: transfer RNA, 72 nt
Filed under: Marinobacter sp.
Lineage: Bacteria; Pseudomonadati; Pseudomonadota; Gammaproteobacteria; Pseudomonadales; Marinobacteraceae
Also listed under: 1 other name
Description: tRNA-Glu
Rfam family: tRNA
About the family: Transfer RNA (tRNA) molecules are approximately 80 nucleotides in length. Their secondary structure includes four short double-helical elements and three loops (D, anti-codon, and T loops).
Source: RNAcentral